This 207-nucleotide ribosomal RNA is filed under the name uncultured bacterium. RNAcentral describes it as "partial 16S ribosomal RNA". It matches the Rfam family "Bacterial small subunit ribosomal RNA", at positions 524 to 725 of the family's 1533-position model. The record is from RNAcentral.
UACGUAGGGUGCAAGCGUUGUCCGGAAUUAUUGGGCGUAAAGAGCUCGUAGGCGGUUUGUCGCGUCUGCUGUGAAAACGCGGGGCUCAACUCCGCGCCUGCAGUGGGUACGGGCAGACUAGAGUGCAGUAGGGGAGACUGGGAAUUCCUGGUGUAGCGGUGGAAUGCGCAGAUAUCGAGGAGGAACGACCGGUGGGCGGAAGGCGGG